UACAACAUGGACAUUAUCAGACAUGGUCACCUCAUCUUUUUGAUCUCUCUGCUUUGGAUGAAAGGUCUAAUUCAUGCCAAUGAUGUCACACAAACCUCAAUGCUAUGGAAAAACCAAGGUGCUGAUGCAACAAUAAGCUGCAGCCACACCAAGGGUGCUACCUAUUUCCAGAUGUACUGGUACAGACAGCUGCCAGGAUUAAAUAUGGAACUGAUUGUGUUCACAACAACAGCCAAAAAAGGUGAUCACGACUUUGGAAAAUUCAGCAAAGACAAAUUCUCAGCCACAAAGACUGAGGCUGAAAAUGGGGAUUUCACAGUGAAGAACCUGGAGCCAAAAGACAGUGGCUUGUAUUUCUGUGCUGUCAGUGAGCACAGUGAUACAGACACAUGUGAAAGCUGA
Non-coding RNA from Archocentrus centrarchus (flier cichlid), 402 nucleotides. The record is from the annotation of a RefSeq genome assembly. NCBI's taxonomy places the organism in Eukaryota, Metazoa, Chordata, Actinopteri, Cichliformes, Cichlidae.